This is a long non-coding RNA of Engraulis encrasicolus (European anchovy), 638 nucleotides long. RefSeq lists it as uncharacterized. The transcript is spliced from 5 exons. Lineage: Eukaryota; Metazoa; Chordata; Actinopteri; Clupeiformes; Engraulidae. The record is from RefSeq and is a predicted model, not a curated record.
UUGUUCUCUGCAUAACUGUCUCUUUCACCUAUAUUAAUUCCUCAGCAUUCAAGAUGUUUGUAGGGUCCUCACCUCAGCUACCUCUCACAAGGUGCCCCUGAAAAAGAAAUUCAAGACGUUUGGGUCCUCAGCUCAACUGACCAAGACCUUUGCUCAUUGAAGGCAUGAAGUAAUUUGUGAUGCCCCCACGAUUGCAGUUUUUAAACGCAGAUGGCUUGCUCUUUUUAACAUGUGCGAGAGCUGGAUGGUCUUUCAACAACACUGCUCCGGGUCUUCAGCAAGAAAGGUGCUUCUCAUGCAAGGAAGAUACAGAGGAUCCUGGUGCCCAUGACUCAGACUGACAACAUUGAUGUGAAGAGGGAGUGCAUGCUGAGGAGCUGACGGUCUACCUGAAUGAAGAGCCAGACAAAGUGGAUGUUGAUCUGGACGGUCCAGCUGAAACGUAUUGUCUUCGUGUGCGUGUGAUCGGCAGAGAGUCCUCAACGACAUUGGUAACGUACCUGUGGCCAUUGCAGUGUUUGUUUUGGUUUAUGCUCUUAAUCUCUGUUACCUUCCAGAAUGGAAGUACACUUUCAAAUUUCUGUUUCAUUCUAACCGUCUGUUUCAUCAGUUUUUGCACUGCUUUUAAAUGUACACUG